CGGAUAUAAAGAGACCGAACAGGAGGGAUGAAAAGGAUGUUGAAGAGGGAGAAGAAUUUUAUGGCGGAGGAGCUUAACUAACCCGCAAACGGAACUCCGGUUACGCAGCGACGACCUGGGCGAAUUCACGAGCCACAGGAGAGCCUGGAUUCGACCGUGGAACAGUUAGCUUCUGUCGCUCAGUCCCUCUGGUUCUGAUUUUCCAUUCAACGUUGCCUCACGGUUUCUGCGAAAUAAAAUCUCUGGAUAGCGCGAACGGAACUCCACCAAAUCCUGCACCACAUUACGCUUUUCCUCUCUACUUUUUGUGCCUUUGUUCUUAAUUGAACGCGAGUCCCUCUAUGGGAAGAAUAGUUUAUUUUACUCGUUCUCUUACUCGUACGAUUUUCAGCCAAGCUCGCGCCAAUCUAUCGAAGAAAGCAUACAAUUGUACAGGAUUAAACUGAUCCCAAGUAAUCUCGCGUAAUAAUAUCGUAUACACGAUAUAGCUUUAUAAUACUGAUGAGUUAGAAACUAGAGGAUUAUAAGGUUCUUUGUAUACCAGCGUGCUGUUUGCGCCGAACGUAUUUCAUGUUAGGGAUUAUAAAAAGCACAAUGAAUUAUUCAAGUGAUGCUAUUUGAGAACCGCUGUUACAAGACUCCCUUGUAAAACGAGAAGCCAAACGUAAUCCCAAUCAGCUCUCGCGCCUACACGAGGGAAUCUUCCUUCAUCGUGAGCUAACAAUAAGUCACGAAUGGCUUCACGGAUUAGCAGUAAAACCAGGAAAUCUUCACGGAGGAUAUACACGCGUGUACAAACAACUACGUACAACUUCAUUCGACGCAAUUACACGAAUUCAAAUGCGCAAAUCCUCCCUCUUAGCUUUUGUCCGUAUAAAGAUAGAAAGAAAAA
This is a long non-coding RNA of Bombus pascuorum, 892 nucleotides long. RefSeq lists it as uncharacterized. The transcript is spliced from 2 exons. The record is from RefSeq and is a predicted model, not a curated record. Lineage: Eukaryota; Metazoa; Arthropoda; Insecta; Hymenoptera; Apidae.